Molecule: non-coding RNA, 151 nt
Organism: Paramuricea clavata
Lineage: Eukaryota; Metazoa; Cnidaria; Anthozoa; Malacalcyonacea; Plexauridae
Source: the annotation of a GenBank genome assembly
UAUAUAUAUGUUAUUUACCUGCUGCGAGGUCCGGAUGAGAAAAACUGUGCCCGAGGUCUUGAAAACGGCCCGAGCCCGACGGACGUUUUCAAGACCGAGGGCACAGUUUUUCUCAUCCGGACCGACGCUGCCGGUAAAUAACAUGUUUAUU